UUCAGUACCCUGUGUAAUUCACAAACACACAAGCAUAUCCCAAACCCUAGAACAAACAACUUCUAAUCCACAGAAUCUGAUCAAGAUAAUUCCUUCAAUUACAAUUUCUCUCCACUGAACUUAGAACCUUGCGAUAAAUAGUGAUUGGAAACUUUCGUACAUCCUCAAUUUUUCACAACAAUUGAUAAACAAUGAUCCAUAAAUAACUUUGUAAAUCAAACAUUAAUUCAUUAAAUCAAUUUUCUUCACUAGAAUCAAUACUAAUACAAAAGAAACAAGAAAACUAAGAAGAAGAGAUAGCACCAAGCUUAUCCCUGGCUCAGUACUAUCGUAGUCUGGCCCUCGGCUCAUGACUAUCACAGACUGGCAUUUUCUUCCCCUCUCCCAUUCUCCUUAUACUACCCUGAGAUAACAACUCCUAUAUUACAGAUGAUAACUACUUUUCUUGACUAUUCAUCCAUUCUACCUGCUAAACCACCUUUUCAACAGUUAUCUAUCCCUGUUUAUACUAUACACUAGAUAUCUAUAUUUUGAAAAUAACUACUUAUUCUACAUAGCACCACUCCAAACUAUGCAGCGUCCCCGCAAACACAGUAUUGAUAAACAAAAACCAAUCCCUUUUUUUUUUAACUGGAUUGUUCAAAAACUUCGAUUUCUGGCGCUGGCUCCAUUUGGUCUUGUUUCAAUACUAUAUCUUCUUCCUCCGACUUGUUCUAAAUCUCUGUCCUUAAUUGAACUGUUAAAUCUUUAUUAUAUGCUCCCAAUUCUCAAACCUGAGCUUCUAAUUGGAGGAUUUUGGCAUCUUAACUUUCAAUUAUUGCUACUAUUGUUACAAUUUCUCCUCCAAUUUUCCAAUUCUUACUCCCGUUGAGGCAAAUAUCUGUGACUGAUCAAUACUGACCAAAUCACUCUCCAAUUUCAUUACUGUUUUCUUCAAAACAAAAUUUUUUACCUGUAGCUCAUUCGUAUUGUUUUGAUAUUGGUCACCCAAUUAUUUCUUUUCAAGCUCCUAUGCCUCCUUCUCUCGUUCCAUCUUCAACUAAGCGUUCAUCUUCUCAUGUUCCAAUCUAUACAAUUUGUGAGUUUGUAAUAAUUCUUGCUUUUGAUUUUUUUGAAUACGUUGAAUCCUCUAUUUUUCUUUUGACAAGUUUUUCACUUUUUCAUCCAAUUCACGUUUCACUCAUAUCUUGGAUUUUGAUUCUACCUUGAUGGCUUGUUCCUAUUUUCUGAUUUUAUAAUUUUACUCCAAUAUUAUUUUCUUGCUCGCUUCCACUUGCCUUUUUAAGCUACCCUCAUCUUUGAGCUUACUCACCGUAAGUUGCAGUUGGAAAAUUUGACCCAAUAUAACUUAUUUAAGAUUCUACCCUUCCGUUACACUCCGUUCUAACCCUAAUUGGUUGCUUUUCCUUGGAACUGGUAUUGGUGUCAUCAUCUCUAUUGUCGGCCGAAUUCGAACUUGCUCUAGUGUAGAUAUUGGUCUUGCUUUCCGUUCUCCUGCUCUGUUGGAUUCUCUCACUUCAUACACCAUUAUCCCUGGACUAACUGUUCCUAUUUGUAAACUUGGAACUACUGGUUGAGAUUCAUGUUUCAAUGUAUACUCAAUCACUAAGUUUACAUAAUUGGAACAUAAUAGUGAAGCAAACUUUCCCAUCUUCCUCUUAGCUCCCAUUUCUGCAUGUAUCCUUGUGGGCACAUAAGCUGUCCAAUUGAAUACCAUACCUUCUAGUAUUCCUAUUGCGGAAAACAACAAUCGCUUCACCAUGUAGGUGGUAUGCCGAUUCAAUGCUAAUUGCUUCUGAAUGAACUGCAUCCAUUCCAUAAGUUCGGGCAUAAGUGCCUCUUGUAUCUUCCAUCCUUAAUUUCACUUGAGAAACGACAUACCUCCUUUGAAGUAGCUCCCUAGCUUGAAAACAUUUGAUGCGUCUCCUCCCACCUCAAGCUCUCCGGUUGGUAAAUGUAAAAUCUUGUGUAAGAUAUUCUCAUCUAUCUCAAUCAGGACUCCUCUUACCAUACUCGAACAAUCCUCUGAAUCAUAAUUUUUUAUAUAUUUUGCCACUCAUUCUACAUCAAUUGGUGGUAGUUUAUCCAAUCCUCGCAAAAACGUAAAUAAUUGUGCAUUUCUAAAAACUUUUUGUAUUUUUAAUGACCAACAUAUAUCUAACUUCAUCGGUUCCAUGUUGGUGAUAACUAUAAGAGACGGUGUCGUGUUGUAACACGAGUAUACCGUGAAAAUAUAAAGAAAGGAGACUUUUAUUAAUGUUCACUUACCUUGAAUAUUGAGAGCAACGACCAAUUUCAGUGCCAAUAUUCAAGGGCCAGUUCAGACACCCCGUCACAGUCGGUGAGGGCAUACUUACCAGUAACGAAAUGCUCUGUUCCAGUCCAAUAGUGGGAGUCAACAGAAUUGAAAGGACUAAAUUGAUGACUGAGCGAGCCUGACGCGAAGGACCAAUUUGACCCAAUUACGAGAACAUCCAGAUUUUACUAUGGGCCUCUUAGCCAAUCUAACGCGAAGGACCAAUUUGACCCAACUAUGGGAACAUCCAGGUCUUAAUAUGGGCCUCUUAGCCAAUAUGAAACCUAAUUUGGUUGGAUGACUCAAUGUGGUCCCGAUUACAGGGGUUUCGAUUCCGUUUCAGACUGUCCUGUUCUUUGUGCUAUUUCAAGGAAAAUUUUUUCUAAAAAAAGAACCUUUUAAAAGGUAGAAAAUAAAAGAAAAAGCUGUGACGGUGGAGCCAAUUCCAGAUCCAUGACUAGGAUUAAGAUGAGAGGCUAGGGUUUGAAAGAGGAGAGAAUUAGGAUUAAAGGGGAGAAUAGAUUAAGAAAUUAAGGGAAGAGAAUCAAGGGUUUUAAGGAUCGGAGAACUAGCUUCAUGCUUUGGAGGAGGAAAAAAGACAGAGAAUUAAGGUUUUUUUUUUCUUCAUAGGGUUUUGGGAAGAUGGAGGCAAUCAUUGCUGAAAGUUAGUGUUGUACUGGUGAAUCGGGGUUUUAAUGAAGUGGAUGUGAUUACUCUUGACUGUUUUAUAAAAUCAAAGUUAUGUCUGUGAUUGAAGAAUUAAAAAGGUGUCUAUAGGAUUGAGUAUGCGGAGUGAAUGAAAAUUUUUGGGUUAAUCUAACAAGACAGUCAGUAGAUACAAGGUCGUGAGUAUAAAGCGGUAUUGGAGAUUAACAAAUUGGAUUGUUCGGGGUUCUCUGUAAUGUCUAGAGACCUAUCGAUUGGGGCAAAAAAGAAUUUCAACGAGCAGUGAAAAGACAUCCAUAUAGAUUUAUGGUAUAUUCUUGUAAUCGUUUAUAUUCUAACAGUCAAAAACCAAUAGACUGCUUGAAUAUUAGCGAAUCUCUAUACUACCUCCUACAGCGAGAUGUUCGGUGCAUUCACGAGCAGGAAAGCACGUAAUACGACACAAGUGGUGAACCCGACGUGAAAGCUUGAGGUGGAAGGUAUUAGAUUUCGUUUGAUUUUAUUUUUAUUUUUAUGAAGAAUGAAAAUAAAAAUUUUGAAGGAUCUUUGGAAGGAGUUUCUGGCGGGGGUUCUUCUAAAGGACAAGGUAUGCAUAUGGAUCCAUCUAUUGCUAAUAUGUUUCAAGCCUUCUCAUUAUCAAUGCAGCAAUAGCAAAGCAAUGAUCGAAAAUAAGCUUUGGCAACCAAAGCAUUGCAAGCAGUGGUCAAUAAAAUUGAUCAAUUUGAUGGAAGGAAUAUUUUAAGGUAUUUAAGAUGUUAUGUUCGUGAAAUGGAAUUAAAUCGGAUUUCUGAGAAGAAAAUGGUUGAAUUAUUUGGACUUGCCACGAUACCGAAGAUAAGAGACUAUAUUACAUCGAUUACGGAUCGUUAUGGGAAUUCAUGGGAGGUUUUUUCACAUGCAUUGAAAGACGAAUAUUUCUUGGAAGAUGUUGAUCGCAUUACUGAGAAGCUAUUUUUGGAAUGGAUUGAACGACCUAAUAAGAAUUUGUAAGCAAUAGAGCUACUAAGGGAAUUUGAGAGGCAAUACUCUCAAUUAUCGAAGGUAGAAAAAUUGACAUUGGAGCCGAACAAAGUUGAUCUAUUUCUUCAAGCUGCUGAUGGAGAAUUGCAAGGGAAAUUAGAACUCCUUCUUCAAGACAAAGAAGAAGAUGAAGGAUUGACAACAAAGUGGAAGAACAUUGAAGAUGCGAUGGGGUUGCUUGCAAAAAGAGAAAGGAGGAAGGAUAGGAGUAAUAUUCCGAAAAUAGUACAAGCAUCCAAAGCUCCAGUACGUACAACACCACCAACAAUGCCUACAGUUCAACCUUCGACAUCCUUAUAAAAGAAAGCAGAUAUGGGGAUGGAAGAAAUUAUACGAGGAAUAUAAGAUCUUCAAAUCAAAUUAGCAAGACUUGAAGAGAAUACUUCUACAAAUAAUUUGAAGAAUGUUUUAAAACAAGGAUAUUGUCAAGGACAAGGACUCGAUGAAAAAAUAGUUCAGACAAGUAAGCCUUCACUCAAAGAAAAGUAACAAAAUAUGAAUAAUAAGUAUGUAUAUUGAAAAGAGAAAUUAAAAUGGCUAUUACCAAAAGACAAGAAAACUAGAGACCCUUGAAACUAGACUAAAAGCAAGAAAGGAGUUGACAAGAGUGAAGAAGCCUUCACUCUUGUCUCUAUAUAUACUAUCUAACUAGGGGCUACGUGGUAAUGUUCUAUAGGACCUCUAAUAUGUGUUGACUUUGUAGGACACAUGCCUUGACUUACAAGGCAAGUUUUUCUACGUGUGGGCCACAUAGUUAGCUUAAUCUCCAAGCUAACAACAUGUGUGGCACAUGGCCAACUUGUUGACCACGUUUCUAAUCCAAAAAGUCAAUUAAAGACACCUAUGAAGUCAAAGCAACGUCUAAGAAGUUUCUAGGAAGCUUCUAUAUUAAAUAUUAUAGAAUUAACUUACUUUUAUCUACUUUUAGUUACUUCUACCUAUUCCUAUAUGUAAUUAUUAGCUUACAUGAUUAUGGCCGUGACAUUACCCCCCCUUCUAGAGACGAGUUCCACGAGGAGCGGUCAUCAUAUGUUGAAGAAAUCUAUGAUGCGGCAAAUUAUAUUCGCCACAUAUUCUGAUCUUUGUUCUCUUCGAAGAUGAUUGAUAGGGCCUCUCAACCAUCGGUAGUGUCCCAUACCAGGGCGGGAAGACCAUCCAGUUAUUUGAUCAUUGUUGAGGCCUUCGUAACUUCCUUCGGAUAGAAUAUUUGGAACACCAUCUCGAGUUGUUCCUACCUCUAGCAAAAUCACCAAACAUCGGGAGUCCCUUCCCAAAUCGUGAUACCAAACGCGUUGUAUCGCACCAUCUAUUUGAGGAAGAACAUGUCGUUUUUGAAGAUCUUCAUCUCGAUUGCGUCGUCUUGAAGGUUGUGACAAUCGUAAUGUCUCGUCCGGUAGGUCAGCAAACAAAGGUUCUUGAGUUGAAUCUGCUGGUUGUUGGCUCUCCAUCUAAUUAGCGUCACAAAUGCAAAGAAGUUAUAAACAAGGAUAGGAAAUUGAAUGUUAUCUUGCCUCAAUCUUGUCUCUUUUAUAAGAGAGAUUUUCAUCUUGGUUUCGAUGGAUGUCGUUGAUGAAAAACUUUGACUUUAGCUGAUGCAUUUGCUAGAUUCCUGGAUGGCUCCCAUGUGCGUUCACUAAUAUCAUAUCCGCGCCAAUGAACAAGAUAUUCCAGCUUAUUUCGAAGUCGCCUUGAGUCUAAUAUCUCUUCCACCUCAAAUUCUUCAUUAUUAUCUACUCCUAUAGGAGGCGGUGGCAUUUGUCUUCUUCCUUGUAUAUCCACUGUCUUAUAUGAUUCAAGAAGAGAUACGUGGAAUACAGGAUGGAUCUUCAUUGACUCCGAUAGAUGUAACCGAUAUGCAACUGGGUUGAUCUGUUCAGAAACAGAAAAGGGGCCAAGCCUACGAUAGUCCAACUUGUCACAAGGUCGAGUAGUCUUGAUAUUGCAACGAAGUAGCCAUAUCUUAUCACCCACGUUGAUUUGUGGUUGCUUCUUACGAUAUAGAUCUGUAUUUAUCUUUUGUAGUUCUUAAGCUUCCUUCAAUUGCGUCUUCAUUAUUGCAUGUAACUCUGACAACUGAUUUGCCAUAUCUUCUGCUGCAGGAUUAUCAACUUUUGAAAAAUCAAAAGUAUCAAGUCGUGGAUGAUAGCCAUAAUUGGUAAAGAAAGGUGUUUGUUGCGUGGAAGAAUGUACCGUAUUAUUAUAAGCAAACUCUACCAAUGGCAGAAGGGUUGUCCAAUCAUCUUAUUGGUAGUUGAUAGUACACCUUAAAUAUUGCUCCAAGACUUGGUUUACGUGCUCUGUUUGUCCAUCAGUUUGAGGAUGGAAAGCCGAAGAUAGCUUUAUGUCCACUUUUAAAAUCUUGAAAAAGGUCCUCUAAAAUCUUGACACAAAUUGAGUUCCCCUAUCUGAUAUGAUAUCUUUAGAUAAUCCAUGAUAGCGAUAGAUAUUAUCAAUGAAAAGCUUAGCUGUUUCUUCACCUGUGAUAGAUUUUGUACAUGGCACAAAAUGUGCCAUCUUGGUGAAACAAUCUACUAUCACAAAUAUAGAAUCAUAAGAUCUUGAGCUUGAAAGAUCUAUGAUGCAAUCCAUAGAAACAGAAGACCAUGGUUGUUCUGGUAUAGGUAAUGGCUGAAGAAGUUUGUAAGGUCGAUGAUGAGGAAUUUUUGAUCUUGAACAAAUAUCACAUGAUUGUACAAAGUCUUUGACUGACUUCCAUAUUUGUGGCCACCAAAAAUCUCUUGAUAUGAGUUCCAAAGUCUUAUUAUAUCCAAAGUGCCUUGCUGCUGGAAAGUCACGACGUGCUUGAAGAACACGAAAACGUUGUCAUAUUACGUGCUUUCCUACUCGAGAACGCGCCGGACGUCUGGCUGUAGAAGGUAGUAUGGAGAUUCGUCGAUAGUCACGCAGUCUAUCAGUUUUUGACUGCUGGAAUAUAAACGACUGCAACAAUGUACAGUAAAUCUAUACGGGUGCUCUUCGACUGCUUGUCGAAGUCCUUUUUGCCCGAGCCGAUAGGUCUCUAGACGUUAUAGAGAACCCCGAACAACCCAAACUGUUAAUCUUCAAUACCCCUUUGUACUUACGAUCUUGUAUCCACUGACUGUCCUGUUAGAUUAAUCCAAUAAAUUUCAUUCACUCCGCAUACUCAAUCCUAUAGACACCCUUUUAAUCCUUCAAUCACAGACGUAACUCAAUUUUACAAAACAGUCAAGAGUAUUCAAAUCCACUUCAUUUAAAAAUCCCGAUUCACCAUUACAACAUUGACUUCAGCAGCGAUUGCCUCAGUCUUCCCAAAACUCUAUGAAGAAGAAAAAUCCAAAUUCUAUGUCUUUCCUUCCCCGACCCGAAGCAUGAAGCUCCUCUCUCUAAUUCCCUUGAUCUUCCAAAAACCUCCAAUGAAAAACCGAACUGGUAACCUUGCAGAAGCUUGAAAAAUCCUUCCCCCCCGAUUUCCCCUCAAAAAAAAAACCUCACACCCUCCAAAACUAUAUCCCCCCUAACCUUAUCCUCUGAAUUUCUUCAAUCUUCCGUCUUAGAUCCGGAAUUGGCUCCCACCUCAAGCUUGGAUCCGAAAUUGGCUCUCGCCGUCAAGCUUUCUCCUCCGUUUUUUCCUUUAAGAAAUCCAUUUACCGAAAACAACGUUCCCUGAGACGGCACAGAGAACAGGACAGCCUGAAACAGAAUCGAACCUCGUAAUCGGGACCACAUUGAGUCGCCCGACCAAUUCAGGUCCUAUAUUGGGAAAGAUGCCCGUAGUAACCUAGAUGUUCCCGUAAUUGGGUUAAAUUGGUCCUCGCGUCAGAUUGGCUAAGACCCGUAGUAAGACCUGGAUUUCCCGUAAUUAGACUGCAUUGGGUUGACCGACCAAUUCAGGUCUGAUAUUGGAUAAGAGGACCCGGAUUGGAUUAUCGAAAUUGGAUCCAAUUGGCUCCUCGAACCCGUCAUGUGAAUUGGUCCUUCUCUUCCUGCUAACUCCCGUUAUUGGAAUCGAACGGGGCAUUUCAGUAUGCUCCGGCUGACUAUAACGGAGUCACUGAACCUGACCACUCAGUAUUUGUACUGGAGUUGGUCGAUGCUCCCAAUAUUCGAGGUAACUGAAUAUUAAUAAAAUUCCCCUUUCUUUUUAUUUUCACUAUAUACUCGUGUUACAACACGACAUCCACCCCCUCUGAACCUGUGCAUCCUCCGGUAUGCACCAAUUUACCCAAUUGCUGUUUGAUUCAGAAUAUAUUCCCUACGUCUUUGUCCAGUUCGUCUUCGUCACCUUCAUUAUCCAUAUCACUUUCAUCUUCUUGCUGCGGAAUCUCUGUACCUUCAUUAAGGUCUUCCAUAUUCAUCUCUGCGUGUCUUCGUUUAAAUAUUUUUACUCUCUUCCCUGCAAUUGGUAUUUUCAAUUUUGUACCAUCUAACUCCCGUAAUGAGUAAGUCGCAUUAUCAUGAACAGUUGUUACAACAUAUGGUCCAAACCAACGUUUUGAAAAUUUCCGCAAAGUACUAUGUUGAUUAUCCAGACUAUUGUCAUAAACAAGUACCCAGUCACCUUCCUCGAUUGCUUUUGGUCUCAAUCGAUGUUGCUUAUCGAAUCGCGCCUUGUUUUGUAACCUUGCUCUUUUUAACCUUUCCAAUGCUAUUUGGACAUCUUCCGUUCUUUGCUCCAAUUGUCGAAUCCUAAUAGCCAGAAGUUCUUCUCUUGUCAAUCCAUCUUCCCAUGGUAGCAUACUCCAAGUAAGUACCUUUUCUUCAAUCGGCAUAAUUGGUUUUUGACCUGUCAUAAGUUCUACUGGCAUAUAUCCUGUCACCAAACUAUGUGUUGUUCGAUCAGCCCAUAAUACAAAUGACAAAAGCCGUGGCCACUCUUUAACCUUCCCAUUACAAGCUUUAACCAAUGCUUUUACAAUCGGCGGGUGACCGCGUUCGCUUUUCGCAUUCCCUUCCGGAUUAUAAGCAGUAGUCAGUGAUAGUUUAACUCCACAUUUUUCAAAGAACCUACGAGCUUCUUGUGCAUUUAAUUCUCCACGAUCUGCAGUGAUUUUUCCUAUGCACCCGUAAUGGCAAAUGACAUCUUCAAGCAAAAACCUACAAAUCCCCUCUGUAUAUUUCGUCCUCAAUGCUCUUCCUUCUACUUGAUUUGAUAAAUCUUCACAAGCUAAAACCAAAUAUCUCAUCUGCCAUAACCCAACUGGCAUAAUAACCAAAUCAACAACCCAUUUAAAAUGAAUAGCCAGAGGAUACGUAGAAUGAAGACCGUCUUGAUGUAAAAAUCCAUAUGCUUUUUUUCUUAUUUGUUUGAAUUUUUCUGUAGACCAAUUCCCCUGCUUAGACAAGGUAUUCAAAUAAUGACCAAUAUCCAAUAAUUCUCCUUCAUAAGCUUCUUCAAGAAAUAGCUGGUCUUCUCUGUUGAGAUUUGAUAUUGAAUAGAAUUUCAAUCCGACAUCAUCAAUGUCUUCAACCAUUUCGUCCUCCCUCUCGUAUCUUGCUCGAGAUAGCAUGUCUGCUACUAAAUUGUCCUUUCCAGUGAUAUGCUUAAAUUCUGGAUUUAGUGACUUAAUAUAAGCAAUCCAUCUCAACAUUGCAAUAUCUGGCGUUGAACAGUUAAUAAUCAUUCGAAGCAAUGGCAAGCAAUCUGUUUCAAUUACUACUAUUGCCCCAAUCAAAUAGUCCUUUUCAGCUUUCAUAGCCGAAACGACUCUCCAAAGUUCUCUUUUUACUUGCGAAUAUGCACGCUGACGAAUACUUAAAACUUUAGCCCCAAAUCGAACUGCAAAUCUACUCCCAUUCGAAUCAUCUUGACCCACUGCCCAUCCAACGGUAAUUGGACUAGCGUCUACAGUAAGAAUCACUGGUCUAUUGCACUUAUAAUCAACCUUCCUCAAUAUUGGAGGUGACAUCAAUAAUUUCUUCAAUCUUUGCAUUGCCUGAAUAUGCCUUUCUUUCCAUUCAAAUCGGUAACCCUUGCGUAACAGUUCAUAUAAUGGAUCCGCUAUGUGAGCAAAAUGAGGGAUCCAGAUUCGAUAAAAUACACAUGCACCCAAAAACCUGCGAACCUCUGUUAAAGAACCACAAUCCUCUUUCAUCCUUCCAAUUGCAUCAACUUUAGUCGGAUCUGGUUUUCUUCCGUAAGAUCCGCAUAAAUGUCCAACAAUUACAACCUCUCGCACUCCAAAUACGGACUUCAUACCCGAUAAUGUAAGAUGAACUUCUCCAAGCCGAGUUAAAAUCUUUUCACAAUCUUGUAUAUGAUCAACAACAUAUCUGCGACACCCCCUCGUAUCUAAAGUUUCAUCCUUGUCUCCUUCUCUGCACCCCUUCAUAGGAAUAUCAUUCAGAAAAGGCAUAGUCUUUUCCGGGAUAAAAUCUCUCAAUACCUUAUUCAUCCCAUUCAUCAUAUGCGCAAUUGAGUUGGUCGCGCCUUGAGGAAGAGUGCACAUUCUAACCAAUCCAAGCGGUGUCCUCAUCGUUGUCAUAUCUCUACUUCCUUCGGCAAGUUGAAAUUGAGCAUAACCUGAAUACAAAUCACCCAUUGAAUAGAUCGCCCUUCCAGCAAACGCCUCAGCAAAUUCAUCCACAAUAGGUCCAAUUCCUGCAUUCCUGACAGUUACAGCAUUCACCGGCUGCAUAUCUUGAAUAAACCGUAGUGACCCAUUCUUCUUAGGUACCGUAAACCAUCGACUAGAAUACGGCGCAAAUGAAGGUUCUAAUAUUUUCAUCUUUAUCUUUUCUUUCAAUAGUUCGACCAAUUUAGGUAAAUGUGCCCUUGGUACUGGAAUCGGCCUUAGAUUCUAAGGUACAUGUGGUACAAUGAAGAUAACCAUAGGUGUUAUAAUAUUUGGAUCUACACACCCAAUUUCAUGAGAUUCGAAGGCAAACGAUCUACCUUGUUUAGCCAACAUCUUUUUGAAGCAAGUAAUUUCCUCCGGCAAUAAAGAACCAUCAGAACCAAUCUUCAAUUCUUCAAAAGUCUCUUCAGUAAACUGAUGUCCAAUACUCAUUGGAUCUCUUAAACUUGCUUCUUUUGAUGCUUCUCCCAUUUGUUCUUUAGAAUCCUCUGGUAAUGGUCCGGCAACAGGCUUUACCUUCUUAUCUGCCGUUUUAUAUCUCGUCUCUACUAUGACUUCUGGUGCUUGAAAAGAUUCAAGCAUGGUAUAAACCUCUCUCGAAUGAAUCUCAACAAUCUUAUCAUUAUCCCCUAACCCAAUAGAUGUAAUCAAUUCCAAUGAAUCUACCAGCCCAUUUUCUUCAUAAACACCCAAAAUCCUCUCAUCAUCUUGCAAUGUACCUAUCUUGCGUAACUGUCCUUCAAUAUCAUAUAAUCUUUUUCUUUCUUUUCUUUUAAAAUCUUCAACUUUCUUAUACAUAAUAUUUCCAUUCUCCAAUAUACCAAUAAAACUCGCAUCAAAGGCACCUUCAUCUCGCGAGAGUACCUCCUCUUUUGUACCUCCAUAAUCUUGCUUUACAGUGGUACCUCCCCAAAAUCCUUAAAUCCUUCAACAAUCUUUGGCAAUGGUUUCUCCCUCAACCUAUCUCGAUUCCGUUCAUGGUUAGGAGGUACUGUUAGAAAUUGUACAGCUUUCCUCCCAUCUUCGCUCCGUACCCUUGCAUAAGCAGAACCAUCGUCAAGUACCUUUGUUUCUAUCCGUAUUGCCGUGAUAUAAGGUUGUCCUAAAAUCAACGGAUAAGACGUUGUAUCUUGAACGAAGAAAUGUUGCUCCGUCGCAACAUCCCCAAUCCGAAUUUUGACAUCUAGACGAGCUCCAUAUAAUUCGCCUCGUGUGUUAUUAGCUGCUCGUAUUGCCCAUCCAUGUUCCAUAUCAAUUGGCCAUUUUUGCUUCUUAUAAAGAUCUUUAGACAUGAGAUUUAUUUCAGAACCAUGGUCCACCAAAGCAACUAUUGGUUCUUCUAUAUCUCUUACCUUCACCAAUACCUUAGUAGUUGCCCUUGCCCAAUGCUUUCGAGUAUAAUGGCUAAAAGUUUCCAUUUCUUUGUCACUAGAAUCUUCGAAACGUACUCGCUGAUUAUACCCAUUCUUUUCAUUUGUUGGUUGCUUGUAACCAAUAUCAACCUCUUCUUCAUCUCUACAUAUUCUUGCACCAAUAGCAUGACUCAUUCCAGUUUCGCUCAUUAAUUGCCUCUUUCGCUUAAUGCUGUCAAUGAUAACAUCAUGAAACUCCUUCUUUGCAAUUCCCAAGACUUCUUUCAAUGUGAAUUCCACCUUAGCGUUUAAUAUACGUUCUUCCAACACCCCUUUCAAAUUUGUUGCCGCUUCAAUGUCAGAAAGUAGCUUAUAAGCAAUUGAUUUGCCCUUAUCUUUUGUCUCCGUUGUUUUUCCUGCCAAUGAUGCUAAGGUAUCCUUUACAGGCAAUUCUUGUGAAGCUGCCUCCCGAGCCUUGUCUCCUCGAGUUUGCCUCUUAAAAGAAUUUCCUUCUCUAGUAUAAUCAAAAUUUCCUUGUCUUUUUUCUUCCAUCAAAGCUUCAUAUUGGCUCUUAGCAAUAUAUGCAUGAACUGAAAGAGACUCAACAGGAUCCUCCCAACCUGUUCUUCCUCGUAUUGUAGCUGCAGUUCUCAAUAACGCUUCUCGAGGUAAUUUCCCUUCUUGCAUUGUAGAAACGGCAGAAGCCCAAAACUCACUAGUUUCCGUACUUCCACCAAUUUCAUCAUCUACUCUAGCACCAUAACUUGCACUUUCUCGUACUACUGUUUCAUACUCUUUUAAGUAAUCUUGAACCAAUGCUCUCAUUCCUCCCUUGCCAAAAUUGGUUUGAAGAAGAUCCUCCCUAUCUUUCAAUGCUAUCUUCCCAUCUUUCCAGCAAAUAAUUCCCUGCCGUAUCAUAUUAUUAAAUUCAUUGCAAUCUUUUCUAGUGUGUGAAGCAUCAUCACACCAAAUGCAUCUUUGUACAUAUCCUUGUUUUGAAACAUUCUUCGAAUUGUUUAUAGAAGUAUUUUCUUCAAGUCUUGCCAAUUUGAUUUGAAGAUCUCGCAUUCCUCGUAUAAUUUCUUCCAUACCCAUAUCUACUUACUUUGACAAGGAUGUCGAAGGUUGAACUGUAGGCAUUGUCGGUGGUAUUGUACGUACUGGAGCUUUGGGUGCUUGUACUGUUUUCAGAAUAUUACUCUUAUCCUUCCUCCUUUCUUUUUUUGUAAGCAACCCCACCGCAUCUUCAACGUUCUUCCACUUCGUUGUCAAUCCUUCAUCUUCUUCUUUGUCUUCAAGAAGGGGUUCUAAUUUCUCUUGCAAUUCUCCAUCAGCAGCUUGAAAAAAUAGAUCAACUUUGUUCGGCUCCAAUGUCAAUUUUUCUACCUUCGAUAAUUGAGAGUACUGCCUCUCAAAUUCCCUUAGUAGCUCUGUUGCUUGCAAAUUCUUAUUGGGCCAUUCAAUCCAUCCCAGAAACAGCUUCUUAGUAACGCGAUCAGCAUCUUCCAAGAAAUAUUCGUCUUUCAAUGCAUGUGAAAAAUCCUCCCAUGAAUUCCCAUAAUGAUCCGUAAUCGAUGUAAUGUGGUCCCUUAUCUUCGGUAGCGUGGCAAGUCCAAAUAGUGCAACCAUUUUUUUCUCAGAAACCCGAUUUAAUUCCAUUUCACGAACAUAACAUCUUAAAUACCUUGAAAUAUUCCUCCCAUCAAAUUGAUCAAUUUUAUUGACCACUGCUUGCAAUGCUUUGGUUGCCAAAGCUUCCUUUCGAUCAUUGCUUUGCUGUUGCUGCAUUGACAAUGAGAAGGCUUGAAACAAACUAGCAAUAGACGGAUCCAUGUGCAUACCUUGUCCUUUAGAAGACUCCCCACCAGAAACUUCUCCCAAAAAUCCUUCAAAAUUUUUAUUUUCGUUUUCCAUAAAAAUAAAGAUAAAAUCAACCGAAAUUCAAUACCUUCCACCUCAAGCUUUCACGUCGGGUUCACCACUUAUGUCGUAUUACGUGCUUUCCUACUCGAGAACGCGCCGGACGUCUGGCUGUAGAAGGUAGUAUGGAGAUUCGUCGAUAGUCACGCAGUCUAUCAGUUUUUGACUGCUGGAAUAUAAACGACUGCAACAAUGUACAGUAAAUCUAUACGGGUGCUCUUCGACUGCUUGUCGAAGUCCUUUUUGCCCGAGCCGAUAGGUCUCUAGACGUUAUAGAGAACCCCGAACAACCCAAACUGUUAAUCUUCAAUACCCCUUUGUACUUACGAUCUUGUAUCCACUGACUGUCCUGUUAGAUUAACCCAAUAAAUUUCAUUCACUCCGCAUACUCAAUCCUAUAGACACCCUUUUAAUCCUUCAAUCACAGACGUAACUUGAUUUUACAAAACAGUCAAGAGUAUUCAAACCCACUUCAUUUAAAAAUCCCGAUUCACCAUUACAACACUGACUUCAACAGCGAUUGCCUCAGUCUUUCCAAAACUCUACGAAGAAGAAAAAUCCAAAUUCUAUGUCUUUCCUUCCCCGACCCGAAGCAUGAAGCUCCUCUUCUCUAAUUCCCUUGAUCUUCCAAAAACCUCCAAUGAAAAACCGAACUGGUAAGUUUGCAGAAGCUUGAAAAAUCCUUCCCCCCCGAUUUCCCCUCAAAAAAAAAACCUCACACCCUCCAAAACUAUAUCCCCCCUAACCUUAUCCUCUGAAUUUCUUCAAUCUUCCGUCUUAGAUCCGGAAUUGGCUCCCACCUCAAGCUUGGAUCCGAAAUUGGCUCUCGCCGUCAAGCUUUCUCCUCCGUUUUUGCCUUUAAGAAAUCCAUUUACCGAAAACAACGUUCCCUGAGACGGCACAGAGAACAGGACAGCCAGAAACAGAAUCGAACACCGUAAUCGGGACCACAUUGAGUCGCCCGACCAAUUCAGGUCCUAUAUUGGGAAAGAUGCCCGUAGUAACCUGGAUGUUUCCGUAAUUGGAUCAAAUUGGUCCUCGCGUCAGAUUGGCUAAGACCCGUAGUAAGACCUGGAUUUUCCGUAAUUAGACUGCAUUGGGUUGACCAGCCAAUUCAGGUCUCAUAUUGGAUAAGAGGACCCAGAUUGGAUUAUCGAAAUUGGAUCCAAUUGGCUCCUCGAACCCGUCGUGUGAAUUGGUCCUUCUCUUCCUGCUGACUCCCGUUAUAGGAAUCGAAUGGAGCAUUUCAGUAUGCCCCGGCUGACUGUAACGGAGUGACCGAACCUGACCACUCAGUAUUUGUACUUGAGUUGAUCAAUGCUCCCAAUAUUCAAGGUAACUGAAUAUUAAUAAAAUUCCCCUUUCUUUUUAUUUUCACUGUAUAAUCCUGUUACAACACGACAACGUGCUUCUCCUUCUGGAACAUAUAGGCGUCCUUCAAAAUAUAAUAGAUUAUUCUUGAACUCGAGCUUAGAAGAAUCAUGAGACUUGGAAGAAUUAUUCUCGAUAUCAUAAACAAGAGGGUCUGAGGACAUACUGGACUGGAUUUACUUGAAAAAAGUUGAAUCAACAGUCAAUGUUGAUUUCAUUGCUCGGAGAUGAAAUUGCUGUGGUUUCAAGAGGAUCGUUCUUUGUUGCUCAAAAGCAGCAUCUCCUUCUUUUGGUACAAAAUAAGAACGUCUAGAUAGGGCAUCAGAUAAACCUUGUUGUUUUCCUGGCCGAUAAGUGAUAAUGAACUCGAAUCUUGACAAAGACAUACUCCAACGAGCUUGAUGACGAUUCAACACGCGUGCUGACAUGAAAUACUCGAGGUUCUUGUGAUCUGUAUACACAGUGACUGGACUAGAAGCGCCUUCUAGAUAAUGACGCCAUUCUUGAAAGGAAUCCACGAUCGCAAGAAGUUCUUUAUCGUGGAUCUCAUAAUUGAUCUCGGCUGCUGAGAAUUUUCUUGAAUGAAAAGCUAUUGGAUGAAGUUUGUCAUCUGUUCCCAUUUGUGAUAAAACUGCACCCAAGGCAAAAUCUGAUGCAUUUGUUUCCAUAAAAAAUGCCUUGGAAAAGUCAACACGAUAUAAGACUGGUGCAGAGACAAACGAUGUCUUCAAGGCUUCAAAUGCUGCUUCCGCUUCUUGAUUCCAUUGGAAUUUAUCUUUACUAGUCAAGCGUGUAAGUGGAGCUGCAACUCGUGAGAAAUCUUUGAUGAAGAUCCGAUAAUAAUUGGCAAAUCCCAAGAAACAUUGAACAUCUCUUACUGUCCUUGGAAUCUUCCAAUCCAUGAUUGUUUGGACUUUCUUAGAAUCCAUCAUGAGACCAUCAUUUGAAAUGAUGUAUCCUAAAAAGUAAACUUGAGUAGUGUGAAAUACACACUUUUCCAUCUUGGCGUAUAAUCCUGCAUCUCUAAGUUUUUGUAAUACUUGACGAACAUGUAUUUCAUGUUCUUCGACGUUCUUAGAAUAGAUCAGGAUAUCGUCUAGAUAGCAGAUGACAAAAUUGUCUAAGAAUUCAUGAAAUACAUCAUUCAUGAGAUGUUGAAAAGCAGCUGGUGCAUUCGUGAGUCCAAAGGGCAUGACAUUAUAUUCGAAAUGUCCAUACCUGGUUCGAAACGCAGUCUUCCAUUCAUCUCCUUCUUUGAUCCGUACUAGAUUAUAUGCUCCUCUUAGAUCUAUUUUUGUAUAGAUCUUAGCUUGAUUCAACUGGUCAAGGAGUCCUGAUAUCAAAGGUAAUGGAUACCUGUUCUUGAUUGUGAUCUUAUUGAGUCCUCGAUAAUCAACACACAUUCGUAAAGAUCCAUCUUUUUUCUUUACGAAUAGAAUUGGAGCUCCUGCUGGAGAUUUUGAAUGGCAUAUGAAAUUCUUCGCUAAAUUCUCGUCAAUAUAUGUCUUGAGUUCAGCCAUCUCAUCUUGCGAUAAACUGUAAAUUGGUCCAAAUGGUGGCUGAGUUCCUUCCUUGAGGUCGAUUGAACUAUCAUAUGGGCGAUGCUCAGGAAGAAUAUCUGCAUUUUUUUUCUCAAAAACGUCUUGAUACUCCUGAUAUUGACUUGGAAUGCUACUUGAAGUCUUUACGUUUUCAGAAAUAGGUGCAGCAUAAAUAGCAAAAGUUAAUCCUUCUUUUGCUGCGUAUAUAAAUGCUUUUGCACCUAUCAGUACGGGUUUUACUAUACUAGACUUAUAAUUUUUUACUUGGUUGGUAGAACUAUUAAUAACGCUCUAGGAAAAGUCAAGUUUACAUAAAUUCCAAUCUAUUCAAGGGUUAUAUUUUUCUAGCCAAGAUAAACCUAAAAUAACUGGAUUGGAUGGAGAUUUAAUUAUGUUAAAAGCUAUGUAGCUAUCAUGACCGUCUAUUGUUACUUUUAUAGGAUGAGUUUCAUGAGUGACAUCUCCAUAAGACAAGGGACGACCAUCUAUGACUUCUACAUGUACUGGUUUAGGUUUCUGUACAAAGUGUAUUUUACGACUUUUAACAAAUUGUUCAUCUAAAAAACAUGCUGAGGCUCCCGAAUCUAAUAAAGCAGAGGCUUUGUAAUUCUUAGGUCCUAAAUAUAAGUCUAUUAUAAAACAAAGAGAGGAUUUUGAGGAGAGGAUAGGACCUUCAUUAGGAAUUGUACAAGGUUCCAGCUGCACGGUCCCUAUUGUAGCUGGACGAAUCCGUUUUCUGACAUGCUGUCUUCUUUGACCGUCGUACCCCUCAUUUUAUAGUUGCGUCUUUUCUUUGGACAAUGUUGAGCAGUGUACUUAGGUUCUCCGUAAUAUAAACAUAAUCCUUCUUGACGAUGACGAAUCUUUUCUUGCUCAGUUAGGGGUUUAAAACGUACUGCGUCAAUUUGCAUGUCUUCUACUUCCGAAUGUACGUUUGGCAAAGAUGUUGAUGUUGCCAUUGAGUAAUAACGUUGAGGUUCCCGUGAAUGAUUCUCGGAUCAAAAUUCAAAAAGUCGAUUAUCACAUUUUAUCGCAAAAUUGAUUGCUUGACUCAAAGUUUGAGGAUCAGGUAAGUUGAGCAUCAAUUUCUUUACUUCGUAUUGCAAUCCAUAAAGAAAUUGACUGAUGAGUGCAGCAUCAUCCCACUUGAUGUCAAUUGUAAGUUGUCGAAAUUGUGAAGCAUAUACUGUUACUGAGCGAUUUUCUUGUCGCAAAAUUCGGAUCUUAUUUGUUGCAACACGAGUUGCAUCGUGUUCACCAUACAUAGAUCGAAACUCCGCCAAAAAAGCUUCCAAAUUAUCCAAUAUUGGAUUUCGUUGUUCAAGAAAAGACGAAAACCACGAUAAUGCAGAAUCAGAAAGUAAAGUGCCAAUAAACCUGACUUGUGAUCCUGGAGUUGGAUAGCUUUGCGGUUGAAGUUCAAUUGCCAAUUAUACUUGAUUGUUGAACCCUCGAAACUUUGAUCUCGUACCAUCAAAUUUCUCAGGUAAGGCAAUUCUUGGUUGUCUAGUGCUUAUAGGGUGUUGUACAAUUGGAAAAAGAACGUGAUUUGUUGUAGAUGUUGAAGCAGCUCCGAUCAUCUCUAUAUCCCCACUUUCUACUAUUCUUGUUCUUUCCUGUGUUGGUGAAUUGAGUUGAUGCAUCGCAAGCAUUAACUCCCUCAUUUGCUCUUGCAUUUGUGCCAUUGCACUCUUCAUUUCAACAAGCUCUGCCAUAAUGACACUAAGAAGAAAAAUUUGUUUAAUAUUGCUCAAGACAAAAGAAAAGAAAGACUUGAUAACAAAGAAGAUACUAAGAACAAUAUCAGUUUAGAAGUGGGUAAUCCGCAAACUUCUAAUACGCUUAUGUCUUGUCAAGAGAAAGGAGUAAUCCACUCUUACUCAAGAAAAAAUAAAGCUCUGAUAUUGUAAAUGUACUCUUGUUAAUCUGUCAAGGACAAGAACUCGAUGAAAAAUAAUUCAGACAAGCAAGCCUUCACUCAAAGAGAGGUAACAAAAUAUAUAUAAAUAAGUAUAUAUAUUGAAAUAGAAACUGGAAUGGCUAUUGCCAAAAGACAAGAAAACUAGAGACCCUUGAAACUAGACUAGAAGCAAGAAAGGAGUUGACAAGAGUGAAGAAGCCUUCACUCUUGUUUCUAUAUAUACUAUCUAACUAGGGGCUACCUGGCGACAUUCUAUAGGACCUCCAAUAUGUGUUGACUUUGUAGGACACAUGCCUUGACUUACAAGGCAAGUUUUUCUACGUGUGGGCCACAUAGUUAGCUUAAUCUCCAAGCUAACAACAUAUGUGGCACAUGGCCAACUUGUUGACCACGUUUCUAAUCCAAAAAGUCAAUUAAAGACACCUAUGAAGUCAAAGCAACGUCUAGGAAGUUUCUAGGAAGCUUCUAUAUUAAAUAUUAUAGAAUUAACUUACUUUUAUCUACUUUUAGUUACUUCUACCUAUUCUUAUAUGUAAUUAUUAGCUUACAUGAUUAUGGCCGUGACAAAUAUGUACAAAGAUGCAUUUGGUGUGAUGACGCUUCACACAUUAGGAAAGAUUGCAAUGAAUUAAAUAAUAUAAUACGGCAAGGAACUAUUUGCUGGAAAGAUGGGAAGAUAGCAUUAAAAGAUAGGGAGGAUCUUCUUCAAACCAAUUUUGGCAAAGGAGGAAUGAGAGCAUUGAUUCAAGAUUACUUAAAAGAGUAUGAAACACCAGCAUGAGAAGGUGCAAGUUAUAGUGCUAGAAUAGAUGAUGACCUUGGUGGAAGUAUGGAAACUAGUGAGUUUUGUGCUUCUGCCAUUUCUACAAUGCAAGAAGGAAAAUUACCUCGAAAAGCGUUAUUAAGGACUGCAGCUACAAUACGAGGUGCAACAGGUUGGGGGGAUCCAAUUGAGUCUCUUUCAGUUCAUGCAUAUAUUGCUAAGAGCCAAUAUGAAGCUUUGAUGGAAGAAAAAAGACGAGGAAAUUUUGAUGAUAUGAGAGAAGGAAAUUCUUCUAAGAGGCAAAUUCAAGGAGACAAGGCUCGGUAGGCAGCUUCACAAGAAUUGCCUGUAAAAGAUACCUCAGCAUCAUUGGAAGAAAAAAUAAGGGAGACAAAAGAUAAGGGCAAAUUAAUUGCUUAUAAGCUACUUUCUGACAUUGAAGCGACAACAAAUUUGAAAGGGGUAUUGGAAGAACGUAUAUUAAGCGCUAAGGUGGAAUUCACAUUGAAAGAAGUUUUGGAAAUUACAAAGAAGGAAUUUCAUGAUGUUAUCAUUGACAGCAUUAAGCAAAAGAAGCAAUUAAUGGACGAAACUGAAAUGAAUCAUGCUAUUGAUACAAGAAUAUAUAAAGAUGAAGAAGAGGUUGAUAUUGGUUACAAGCAACCAACAAAUGAAAAGAAUGGAUAUAAUCAAUGAGUACAUUUCGAAGAUUAUAGUGAUAAGGAAAUAGAAACUUUGAGCCAUUAUACUCGAAAGCAUUGGGCAAGGGUAACUACUAAGGUAUUGGUGAAAGUAGGAGAUAUAGAAGAACCAAUUGUUGCUUUAGUCGACCAUGGUUCUGAAAUAAAUCUCAUGUCUAAAGAUCUUUAUAAGAAGCAAAAAUGGCCAAUUGAUAUGGAACAUGGAUGGGCAAUACGAGCAGCUAAUAACACACGGGGCGAAUUAUAUGGAGCUUGUCCAGAUGUCAAAAUUCGGAUUGGGGAUGUUGCGAUGGAGCAACAUUUUUUUGUUCAAGAUACAACAUCUUAUCCGUUGAUUUUAGGACAACCUUAUAUUACAGCAACACGGAUGGAAACAAAAGUACUUGACGAUGGUUCUGCUUAUGCAAGGGUAUGUAGCGAAGAUGGGAGGAAAGCUGUACAAUUUCUUAUAGUACCUCUUAACCAUGAACGAAAUCGAGAUAGGUUGAGGGAGAAACCAUUGCCAAAGAUUGUUGAAGGAUUUAAGGAUUUUGGGGAGGUACUACUAUAAAGCGAGAUUAUGGAGGUACAAAAGAGGAGGUACUUUCGCAAGAUGAAGGUGCCUUUAAUGCGAGUUUUAUUAGUAUUUUGGAGAAUAGAAAUAUUAUGUAUAAGAAAGUUGAUGAUUUUAAGAGAAAAGAAAAAAAAAGAAUAUAUGAUAUUGAAGGAGAAUUACGCAAGGUAGGUAUGCAGCAAGAAGAUGGAAGUGAUUUGGAUAAUGAAGGUGACAAAGGCAAACUGGACAAAGAUGUAAAGAAUAUAUUAUAAAUCAAACUACAAUUGGGUAAAUUGGUGCAUACCGAAGGAUGCACUGGUUCAGAGGGGGUGGAUGUCGUAUUGUAACAUGAGUAUACCAUGAAAAUAUAAAAAAAGGGGACUUUUAUUAAUGUUCAGUUACCUUGAAUAUUGGGAGUAAUGACCGAUUCUAGUGCCAAUAUUCAGGGGCCAGUUUAGACACCCCGUCACUGUCGAUCAGGGCAUACUUACUAGUAACAAAUUACUCCGUUCGAGUCCUAUAGUGGGAGUCAACAGAAUUGAAAGGAUUAAAUCGAUGACUGAGCGAGCCUGACAUGAAGGACCAAUUUGACCCAAUUACGGGAACAUCCAGGUCUUAUUAUGGGCCUCUUAGCCAAUCUGAUGCGAAGGACCAAUUUGACCCAAUUACGGGAACAUCCAGGUCUUACUACGGGCCUCAUAGUCAAUCUGAUGUGAAGGACCAAUUUGACCCAAUUACGGGAACAUCCACGUCUUACUAUGGGCCUCUUAGCCAAUAUGAGAUCUGAUUUGGUCGGGCGACUCAAUGUGGUCCCGAUUAUGGGGGUUUCGAUUUUGUUUCAGGCUGUCCUGUUCUAUGUGCUGUUUCAGAGAACAUUGUUUCCGAAAAAAGAACCUUUUAAAAGGCAAAAAAUGGAGGAGAAAGCUCUGACAGCAGAGCGAAUUCUGGAUCCAAGACUAGGGUUAAGAUGAGAGGCUAGGAUUUGAAAGAGGAGAGAAUUAGGGUUAAAGAAGAAGAUAGGUUAAGAAAUUAAGGGAGAAGAAUCAAGGAUUUUAAGGGUCGGAGAGUUAGCUUCAUGCUUUGGAGGGGGAAAAAAGACAGAGAAUUGGGGUUUUUUUUUUCUUCAUAGGGUUUUGGAAAGACGGAGGCAAUCAUUGCUCAAAGUCAAUGUUGUACUGGUGAAUCGAGGUUUUAAUGAAGUGGGUGUGAUUACUCUUGACUAUUUUGUAAAAUCGAAGUUACGUCUGUGAUUGAAGAAUUAAAAAGGUGUGUAUAGGAUUGAGUAUGCGGAGUGAAUGAAAAUUUUUGGGUUAAUCUAAUAAGACAGUCAGUGGAUACAAGGUCGUGAGUAUAAAGCGAUAUCGGAGAUUAGCAGAUUGGGUUAUUCGAGGUUCUCUGUAACGUCUAGAGACUUAUUGGCUGGGACAAAAUAGGAUUUCGACGAGAAGUCGAAGGACAUCCAUAUAGAUUUACGGUAUAUUCUUACAAUCAUUUAUAUUCUAAUAGUCAAAAACCAAUAGACUUUUUGAAUAUUAGCAAAACUCCACACUACCUCCUAUAGCCAAACGUCCGGUGCAUUCUUGAGCAAGAAAGUACGUAAUACGACAACGGUAAUCUCAGAUUACACUUAGACCUCACAUUACGGUGACUUUUCAAUCAUUUUGGUGCUCUCUUUGUUCUUUUUAUCGACAUUGUGAAAAUCAAACUCUCAAUACUUCCUCGCACUAAUACUAUUGUUGAUUACUGUCGUAAAACUUACAGUUCAAAGUACAAUGUCUGAAAUUUGCAACAAUGAAACUUUCUAUGAAUGCCCCGCUCCUAACAACUUACUCGAGGUCCGAAUCAAAAACAUCUAAUCUAGUGUAACUUAAUCUCAUGUCUUAUCAAGAAUGUCUAAUUUCUUGACUAGUUAGUUUCAGUAUCCAAAACUAACCAUCAAUCAUUUCCUAACUAUCACAACCUUUCCAAUCCUGUCGGUAAUCAAUAUUACAGAGACUUCCUCCCUCCACUGAGUAAAUCUAUCCCAGAUUUAUGUAUAAUACAGACGUAACCUGUUUCUAUUAACACGUAAAGUGAAGUGGGUUCCCAGAAAAUCUUUCAAUUGAAUGGAACUAAUAGGGAAACCUUCCACCACCCGAUAUGGUCCAUGCCAUCGUACUUGAAAUUUAUCAAGAAAGUUGUUAAAGUGGCUAUCAUAAAGUAGCACCAGAUUAUUGGACAUAAAAUAUUUCAGCCGUAACUUAUUGUCAUAAUAACUCUUUCUACAGCGCUGUAUAGCUUCCAUGAUCAAGAGAGCCCUAGCCCUAACUUCAUCCAAUUUCUCCAAUUGGACUAACCUAUAUUGAAGAGAGUCUCUGUCUCCCAAAUGUUCAUCCAACGUAAUUCGUAAACUUUGGACUUCCAAUUCAAUUGGUAGAAUUGCCUCCUGACCGUAUACCAAUUGAAAUGGGAUAGAAUUGGUAGUUACUUUAUAUGCAAUAUGGUAUGCCAAUAAAGCUGCAAAUAAUUUAGUAUCCCAAGCAGUUCCCGUUUUUGAAAUAGUCUUUGUUAAGAUCUUGCAUAGAAUACCAUUUAUCUUUUCGGUCCGCCCAUUGGCUCAUGGAUGAUAAGGUGUAGUUUUGUGGUGCUUGAUUUCAUACUUUGCUGUUGAUGCUUCAAUUGUGGCAUUAAAAAAAUAUAUAUUGCAAUCACUAAUCAAUUCUUUUGGACAACCAAAAGGAGCGAUAAUGUUCUCAUAUAAAAAUAUUGCUACGAUAUUGGCAUUAUCAAUUUUUGUUGCCAUGGCCUCCGCCCAUUUGGUGACAUAAUCGGUGGCUACUAGAAUAUAACAUUUAUAUCCAUUUUAAGAGGCAGGUGCAAUGGAUCCAACAAAAUCAAUUCCCCAUUUCUCAAAUGGUGCCUGUACCAAGAUUGGUACUAACGGCAUCAAUGAAGUACCCAUGGGUCGACCAAUUCAUUGACAGGGAUCACAACAAUGAACAAAUUGAUGCGCAUCAGAAAACAUUGUGGGCCACCAAAUAACCAGCCAUUAAAGCCUUGCGAGUAGUACUGUCUCUCGCAAAAUGUCUACCACAACUAUCCAAAUGACAUCCUUCCAAAAUUGUAUGAACUUCACUUUGAAAGAUGCAACGGUGUAAAAUUCCAUCCCGCCCUUGUUUGUACAAGGCAUCUCCAAUCAUGGUAUAUGGCGCACUUUUUAAAAUCAGACGUUUCUUUAAUUUUUCAUUAUAAGAAAUGAGAAAAGUCUGAAACGUUAGAUAUUAGAUCAAUUCACCAUAUUCAGAUGUAAUAGUUGUGCAUCCAAAAGAGCAUCGUUUAUGAGCUCAUUACCCGGUAUAUUAGAUAAACGGGAUAAGUGAUCUGCAUUGGCAUUUUUCUUGCUGAGUCAAACGUUAAUCAUAAAGUUGAAUUCCUGGAGAAGUAACAUCCAUCAAGUAAUUCGUCUGCUCAAUUGAGGUUUAUUUAUCAGGUAUUUAAGUGCAUCAUGAUCAACGUGGAACACAAAUGAGUAUCCAAGUAGAUAGUCAUGGAAUUUCUGUACAAAGUAGAUCAUUCUGAGGGCCUCUUGCUUGGUAGUAUUAUAAUUUUGUUCUGCAGCAACAAAUUAUCGACUCGCAUAAUAUAUGGGAUGUUCUAAUCUUUUUUCAUCCCUUUGACUAAGAACAAAUCCAAUAGCAAUAUUGGAUGUAUCCACAUAGACAUGAAAUGGUUUUGUCCAACAAAGUAUUACAAGAAUUGGGACAGAUACCAAUUUCCAUUUCAAUUCGUCGAAUGCAAAAAUACGGUCUUCAGUCCAUAUUGGAUUAGAUCCCUCUGAUGGGGGUUUUUUAAACAAGUGGAUUAACGAUUGAUAGAUAAUCACAAAGGAUUCAAUAAAACGUCGAUAGUAGCUGACAUGGCCGAUGAAACCGCGCACGGCCGACACUGCAUUUGGCUUUGGUAAUCUCAAUAUACGAGUAAUUUUAUCGAGGUCCAUAGCGAUAUCUUCAACAGAGACAAUGUGUUCCAAUAGCUUUCUCGAUGGUACGCCAAAUUGAUAAUUCUCUAAAUUUAGAAAUAUCCCAUACUUGUCGCAUUGAUUCAAACAAUUAUCUAAGCAUGCUAGAUGUUCAACUGUUGUGCCAAAAGUGCAGAAAUCAUCCAAAAAUAUCUCCAUUGAUAAACGUAGGUAAUCUUGAAACGCUUGUGUCAUUAUCCAUUGAAAAGUAGCUGGGGCAUUAUAUAACCCAAAUGGCAUUACUUUAUUGGUGAAUGUACCCCAAUCUGUGGUAAACGUAGUCUUCAACUGGUCUUCUUCGACAAUUUUAAUUUGAUUAUAUCCCAAAAAUCCGUCCAAAAAUGAGUAACAUUCAUGUCCAACCACUGCGUCCAAAAUACUAUCUAUAAAUAGUAACGAAAAAUAGUCCUUCUUAGUAGUCGCAUUUAACUUUCAAAAAACUUGACAUAUCCUAAUUUUUCCAUUCUUCUUUGGUACCAUCACGAUUGGCGACAUCCAUACACUAUGCAGAACAGGAUAAAUAAAAUCCAUGUCGAGAAGUUUAUCCAAUUCUUCUUUCACUAAAAGAGAAUAUUUUGACUUAAGCCGAUGUUGUCUUUGACGAACUGGCAUAACACCCUCCUCUAUAAUAAUCUGGUGGUCAAAGACGUCAGCUGGAAUGCCUUUCAAAUCCGCAUACCACCACGCAAAGGCAAAUUUGUGAUGGACAAAAAAGUAUUUCCAAGCAUCCAAUUCUGUACCGAUAAUACCGACAUAUAUUUUAAUUAGCUGUGGCAUUUCGUUGAUACCCAAGUUAAUAGAUUGACACACAAGGUCUUCAACAACCUCUAAUUUAAUUGUCUUCCCCUAAUCUGAAUAUCUUAUAUUAUCCGACAUAUGGGAACCAUCCAAAUCUGGUUCCAAUGUGCUGAUUCUAUUAACUGCGGAAUUGUUCAUUCAUUCGGCAAUAGCAUGAUCCAAGUUAGUUGCAUCCUCCUGAUGCAAUAAAUAUUCGCUAGGACUUUCACAUUGGUAGACUCCUGCCUUUGCUGUUGAAGUGUUUUGUCCUACCCCAAAUUGCGGUGAACCUAUAGCAUCAUCAUCUGCCUUAAUCGAUUGACUCUCGUUGUCCGAUGUAAAUUUUGAUUCUGGCAAUUGAGAUUUUCCAUGAUAUUGUACUGGGUACAUCUGUAGAACAAUCUGGUCACGGCUUUUUUCAAUUGUCAAUGUGCCUUGACUUCAAUCGUUCUUAGCUUUGGCUUGAUAAAACCAAGAUCUAUCCAAUAAAAUGGAAUAUGAUAAUGUAGAACUCUGUAAUCGAAAUACAAUAUAAUCGAUUUUUUAUGUCAAUCUCGCGAUUACAGUGGCAAUAUUGCAUAAGAUUUCUAUUGGCUUUCUAUGACUAUGAUUUACCAUUCGCAAGACCAAUGUCAUAGGUAGCAAUUGCUUUAGAUCCAAGUCCUCUAUUGUAUCCGCGUUCAUUAAAUUUACACUGGAGCCACCAUCGACUUGUAUCCCUGGAAUUAAAAUGCCAUCGAUUGAUACAUCGAUUGUUGGUGCUCCCAGAUCUCGGUUUAAGCUAACUUCCUAAAUUUUUUUAGUGUGGGAUCUUCAUCAUAUUAACGCUAAAUUCAAUGUAGAUCGACAUUUUGAUGCUAUAGCCAAAAGUUACUUCAUUGUAAUUGAAGGCUAAAUAACAUCCAAAUCCUUCAAAAUAUCGUAGGAUUCCAUAUUGAGAGUAAUUUCCAAUGCUCUUUUGCGUUUCAUUGGUUUCGAUUUUAUUCCAUUCGACAGUAAUUCCUUCCUGGCGAUUGAGAUUACCAUUGGUGACUUUGCCAACUUUUCUACAACUAAAGAUUACUUUAAUGCGUAAGAUCUUUUAUUGAGUUGUAUAGGUAUUAGUACUUGGUCAAUUGGGAUCGAUCUCUAUGGUCUCGACAAAUUGGCACAUGGGACCGAAUUAGGUUCCUUAGUCUGUUGAGGUCUCAAUAUUGGGAUAUGUCUCAAUACUGAUAUUGGUUCGUUUAGCCCCAUGGAUGGUGCUACUAGCUCUCCUGCGAUUAGUUCAUCUAGGUCCUGAAUUGGAUUCUUAUCUUUUUGUUGGCCUCUGAUAAGUACUGCGUUCACCACCUUGACAAAAUGUACUGGUGAGUCUCGUUGAACAGAGCCUUUGUCUUCCACCGGCUGGCUUAUUUACAUUUGCUGGUCCCGAUUAUUAUAAUUAAAGGGCGCAUUGCACUGCUGAUAAGUGUAAUCAGACUACUUACAAUUUCCACAUAUUAGAGCAUAGUCAUCACUAGCCCUUGGAUUAGGACAUUCACUCGCAUAAUGUCCGAUUUGUCUGCAAUGAUAGCAACGAAGUGAUUUCUUACCAACUCCUUCAGGGAUAUUGGGUGUCUCUAUUGGUAUAUAAUGACUAGGUCUGUUUCAUGUCGGAUGAGUAAAGGAUCUUGAUUGAUCCAUUGUAACUAUAGAGUCUGGCAUUGGCUUCGUCAUAGGUGGAUAUUGAUGGUAUCCUAGUUGGUUCAUCGCCAAUCCGUGAGUAUUGGAUAUACUUUCUUGGUGAAAUUCAGAGUUUAGGAAAUUAGAAUAAUUCCUAUUUUGUUUAUUCGCUCGAUUUCCAUUCCAGCCAAACCUAUUAUUCGUUUGUACUUGAUUGACAUUCCAUUGGGUUGGUUGAGUCAUUAUCUAGUUACUGAGUUAUUAUUGCUUCCAUAAAUUCCAACAAUUGGUGGUAAUAUGCUUGCCCCCAUAAAAAGUAUAUUGUACAGUCAUUUGGGGAGAUGAAGGACAUUCUGUUACUAAAUAAUUUUGCCCCUUACAAUUGCUGCACCAGACAUUGGGAUGCAUAUUGGUUGUUUUAUGCCUCUUCUCCUUAUCUUUGACCACAUUGAUAGCCAUUUCCUCCAUUUUUUUUGUCAAAUUCAAUAACAAGGUUUCAUUGGAAUCUUUUAGGACUAGAAUUAUUGAUAUCUCUGUUGUAGUUAACACUUAUUGUUGAUACGGUGUUGGGGUAGAGAGGUUUUGCCUCAAGAAAGCACUGGGCUUCAGGUUGUCAUUAAUUACUCAAUCGAGCUUAAAAUAAGGAAACCCUAAUUUUAUAUAUAUAAGUUCUCCUUUUGGGACAAUUACACCAAAUACUUAAGUAUUAAAUAACCAACAACAUCCAAAAUAUGGUAGAAAUACACUAAAACCUUGUAUAUCCUUGUGUGGAAAUUCUCCCGAAUCUCAACAACCCAUAACUCUUGAUCCAACCGUCCAAACAAGAUCAAAAUUUACAGAAAGUACUGAUAUGUUGUUAUUAAUUUGUACAACAAAUUUCAACUGCAAAUUCGUUGCGGAUCUUGAGAUAUCUUCAAAAUCCUAACAGUCGCUUCAAAUCCUAAUCUUUGUAUACCCGUGCGCAAUUUUCUUCAUAUCUCACAAACCAUAAGUCCAAAUGCCACGAAACUUAUAUAGAUAGCUUUUUAACACAAAUUUUUACAUUCUCUCAAAGUUUGAGCCAAAAUUCGUUCGAAAACUCAAGUUAUGGCUCCUAACACUACUUUGAACAAAACCGCUCACUUACUGCCUUUGAUUUGAAUGCGCUGUCUUUAACUCCUUAUAACUCCUUCACAUAAACUCCAAAUGCAAAAUCUCCUUCACAAAAGAUGUAUGUCUUGAAGUUGCCCUUCCAGCUGCCUCUUCCGAUCUCCAAAAGCUUCCCUAAGACUCCUCUUAAACUCAAAAGAGUAACAGUAGGUCUCAAAUUGACACCUUAACUUCAAACGGCUAUAACUUAUUCAUCCUAACUCCAAACCCUAUAAAAUUUGCACAAAAAUUGUAGCCAAAAUCCUAAAAUUUACAAUCCUUGCCUCUGAUUUCCUAAUGGCUUCUUUGAAGUCGUCGAAACCCUUAUCAAGGUCGCAGGCAGCCUCCUGAAAGCCCAUUGGGCAUGGAUUUCGACCAAUGGGGAUGAAGAUCCUUAUUUCUACCUUCAUCCAACCAUGCCUUGGUUUCAUCCCUCCCAAUUAACCUCCUAUUAGUUUAAAUCUUCAUCUUUAGGCCCCUCUCUCCUCUCAAGGCUUCAUACUUAACAUUAAGGUUCUAUAACUUUUAUAUACUAUAAUCUAACUAAGUAAGGAAAACAAAAUAAAGUUUUUUUUUUUUUUUACCAACUCUUUUUAAUUUAAUAUAUUUAUCACUUUAACAAAAAUUUAGAUUUAUUAAUAUAUAAUAUAUUUUAACUAAUUUUUAUAUAUUGUAAGCAUUUACAAUAAGACAACGGAUAAUAUGGAGCAUACGCUGUUGUCACGUUCGAUGGUAUAGCUUGCAAUGGGAUGACAUUAACUAGCCCCUGAAUAUUGGUAUUGGAAUUGGUCUCUGUUUCUAACAUCCAUGGAUAACUAUACACUGAUUUAUUCCAAGUCGGAUUUUGAUAUCUACCUUGAAUUGGAAUCAUCAUGGCUCCCACAGUUAAAAACUGAUCAUAAUGGCAUUCCUUCCAAACCUUGGCUCUAUUAAGGGACGCAGCCACUGUAACGAUUUGAGCUUCCUUUACAAAAAAAUUUAGCUCUGGUGAGUGUAAACCAUUGAUUAAUAUGGAUAAGAUAAAUGCCUCCGAUAUUUGGUUAUUCAGCCACUUACUGAAUAUAUCAGCUACUCGGCCAUAAUACGAUUCCACUGCCUCCCCUAGGAUCAUUUUGCUAUUCAUUAACCUCUCUCGAAGGCAGUCUUCAAAACCAAUCAACCGAAAAUGAGAUAAAAACGCAUUCAUCAAUGCUUCCCAAUUCAGAAAUUGACCCACUUGUUGAUAAUUUUAUCAUUCAAAUGCCAUCUUUUAAGGUUGUUAGUAGCCAUCGCAACCAAAUAUCUUCAGUUCUGCCAUUAUUAGCUAUACAUGCUGUAAGAAACUGAGACAAAUGUUGAUCAUGAUCCACACCCAAAAAUCUCCAAAAAGUACAUAGUAGCGCGACACUAGUCGUUCGACCACCCACUGCACCCAUUUGUACUACAAUCGGAAUACCUGGGCCUCAUGACGCCAUUGAAUUUCUUGUUCCGCUAAACUCCAUUUUAAAAUAAUCUCUGCUUUCUCUUAUUCUAAUUUCCGAGCUCUCAAUGCUCCUCGAUUUACUAUUAUUUUUUGCAAUUAGUUUUAUUGGUUGAAUUGCAGGUGAAAAUGUCAUAUUUUGAAAUACAAUAUAGUUAUCUUUAUUGGCAACCAAUUUGUGUCAAUCUGAAGAGCCACUAUUGCUCGUUUCAGCGGUACCUCCUACUGAAAAAAUACCCAAUGGAGUACCAAAUUCUUCUAUGCCUCCUUCUCUUUCAGUUAACGGCCUCAAGAUUUCCACUUGAAUGUUAACAAAAAAUUUUGCGAGUAUUUUUGGCAGUUUUUCUAACGGUACAUACGAUUGCAAAAUUAACAGUUUGUCCAGUUUUUGAUAUGUUCAGAUGCGUCGACAAGCUUGCAACCAUGGUUUAAUCCAAUUCUAUCAAUGCUACUUUUUAAGAUUACAUUCUUGCUCUUCUCUAAGCAAAUUCCUUCCUUGUGCUCUUCCCUGUCUUUCUUUCAAUUGAUUUAUUUUCUUCGAUGCAAUGCUCUCGUUCUUAUUAACCAUAAUCUUGCUUCAAACACUAUUGAAAUCGACUUCCAUUGCCAAUUUUCUCACACGUUUGAUAAUUAAUUCCUAACAUUCAAAGCUAUUAUCACUCCCCGACAACGGUGCCAAAAUGUGGUUGUCAUUUUACUUAUUCUGGAAGAAACCUCCCAAAAUAAACUCAUAUAGGGGAAUUCAAACACAGGAAAAGACCAUGUAUAUGAGCUCCAAUUGUUAGGGUCACGUAAUUAACUGCUACUGCUAAAUGCUUAUCAUAUCGAAGAACACUUAAUUUUUUUUCUUACUAUCCACUCUCUCAUAUCAAUAUAAUAACAUCCACGACAAUGAUUUCAGUACCCUAUGUAAUUCACAAACACACAAGCAUAUCCCAAACCCUGGAACAAACAACUUCCAAUCCACAGAAUCUGAUCAAGACAAUUCCUUCGAUUACAAUUCCUCUCCACUAAAUUUACAACCUUACGAUAAAUAGUGACUGGAAACUUUCGUACGUCCUCAAUCUUUGACAACAAUCGAUAAACAGUGAUCCAUAAAUAACUUUGUAAAUCAAACAUUAAUUUAUUAAAUCAAUUCUCUUCACUAGAAUCAAUACUAACAUAAAAAAAAAUAAGAAAACUAAGAAGAAGAGAUAGCACUAAGCUUAUCCCUGGCUUAGUACUAUCAUAGUCUGGCCCUCGGCUCAUGACUAUCACAGUCUGGCAUUUUCUUCCCCUCUCCCAUCCUCUUUAUACUACCCCGAGAUAACAACUCAUAUACUACAGAUGAUAACUACUUUUCCUGACUAUUCAUCCAUUCUACUUAUUGAAUCACCUUUUCAAUAGUUAUCUAUCUCUCUUUACACUAUACACUACGUAUCUAUAUUUUGAAAAUAACUACUUAUUCUAAAAAUACCAUGUAACUUUAAAAAAUCAUUGAAU
RNAcentral lists this long non-coding RNA (31130 nucleotides) under Physcomitrium patens. Its description in RNAcentral is "long non-coding RNA (PPAT_LNC005261)". Lineage: Eukaryota; Viridiplantae; Streptophyta; Bryopsida; Funariales; Funariaceae. The record is from RNAcentral.